UACGUAGGGUGCAAGCGUUAAUCGGAAUUACUGGGCGUAAAGCGUGCGCAGGCGGUUUUUGUAAGUCAGAUGUGAAAAUCCCCGGGCUUAACCUGGGAACUGCGUUUUGAAACUACAAGGCUAGAGUGUGGCAGAGGGGGGUGGAAUUCCACGUGUAGCAGUGAAAUGCGUAGAGAUGUGGAGGAACACCGAUGGCGAAGGCAGCCCCCUGGGUUAACACUGACGCUCAGGCACGAAAGCGUGGGGAGCAACAGG
RNAcentral lists this ribosomal RNA (255 nucleotides) under uncultured bacterium. RNAcentral's name for it is "partial 16S ribosomal RNA". It matches the Rfam family "Bacterial small subunit ribosomal RNA", at positions 524 to 775 of the family's 1533-position model. The record is from RNAcentral.